UGGGGAAUAUUGGACAAUGGGCGCAAGCCUGAUCCAGCCAUGCCGCGUGAGUGAUGAAGGCCCUAGGGUUGUAAAGCUCUUUCACCGGUGAAGAUAAUGACGGUAACCGGAGAAGAAGCCCCGGCUAACUUCGUGCCAGCAGCCGCGGUAAUACGAAGGGGGCUAGCGUUGUUCGGAUUUACUGGGCGUAAAGCGCACGUAGGCGGACUAUUAAGUCAGGGGUGAAAUCCCGGGGCUCAACCCCGGAACUGCCUUUGAUACUGGUAGUCUUGAGUUCGAGAGAGGUGAGUGGAAUACCGAGUGUAGAGGUGAAAUUCGUCGAUAUUCGGAGGAACACCAGUGGCGAAGGCGGCUCACUGGCUCGAUACUGACGCUGAGGUGCGAAAGCGUGGGGAGCAAACAGG
Molecule: ribosomal RNA, 404 nt
Filed under: Actinomycetes bacterium
Lineage: Bacteria; Bacillati; Actinomycetota; Actinomycetes
Description: Actinobacteria bacterium partial 16S ribosomal RNA
Rfam family: Bacterial small subunit ribosomal RNA
Source: RNAcentral